This is a non-coding RNA of Camelina sativa (false flax), 850 nucleotides long. Lineage: Eukaryota; Viridiplantae; Streptophyta; Magnoliopsida; Brassicales; Brassicaceae. The record is from RefSeq and is a predicted model, not a curated record.
UUAUUUCCCCAUUUCCUCCUUUCGUUUUUCCCCGACUCUCUCUCUCUUCUCUCAACCCAAACGGCGACUAGAAGGCCAUUAAGAUCGAAACCGGAAAAUCAGUUGCUUGGGAGCAUGAACAGUUUUCAAGACUCAGAGUAACUGCGGCCACUUUAUCUGAACUUUCAACUCCACCUGAGUUACUGGAAAAUACUGUAAGUCUGUCUGACACAAGGCAAUUGGUGAAUGAAGAUGCUAUCAUUAAGGGUGUCAAGUUGAAGUUGGUGGCUGAAAGCCUUGCAGUAAACCAACCACUCAACUUAAGUGCUUACUUCUUGUUCUGUCGUUUAUUUGGUUGGACGAGAAAAUGUCAAACAAGUACAUGAAAUCGUUGCAAUUUGUAUUCUUGUUAUUUAUCCUGAUAAUUGACUUAAAUAUUUAUUGACUCCUGCAGAAGCAUAUCUAUGGUCACCAAGGAAAAGACAUUAAGAUUUUUGCUGAUGACAAUUGUUUGGCUGUAAAUCCCUUCUAUGUGAGAUCAUGGUUGGAUCUUUUGUCACAAACCCCUCGGGUGGCACCGUUUCUCUCAAAGAACGAUCCAUUAAUCAUGGCUCUGAAGAAGGAACUUGAGGAUUAUACAGCUGAAGUGAGUGUUCAACAUGAAUCUUUAGACGGAAGUUUCACCUUUUACGACUCAACAAAGGCUAGCCUUAACAUAUACCAGGUGGCGAGUGUAACAUUCGACUUGCUCUUGUUUCUGGUGUUAGGAUCAUAUUUGAUAGUGCUUUUCAGUUUCCUUCUCGAUCACAACCCAACAAUAAAUCUUAUUCCCAAUUUUGUAACAUAUGUUUAAUAUUCCAAAUUUUGUAAA